GAUGAACGCUGGCGGCGUGCUUAACACAUGCAAGUCGAGCGGAAGGGCCCGGAGUUUGUUUCUUUGUCGUUAGGGGAGCGGGGGAGUAAAACGCGUGGAACCCCCCCUUGACUGAGGGGGAAAAUUUCGGAAAACGGGAGCAAACCCCGGAUAAUAUUUUGAUCCGCGGGGGUCGAUAGUGAAUGUCGGCGUUGCGGUAUGUAAUAGCUGCUUCUCCGCUGCAUUGGGUGGUUGGUAAGGUAACGGCUUACCAAGGCAACGAUGCCUAGCCGACUGGAUAGAGGGAUCGGCGACACGGGAACUGAGACACGGUCCAGAGUCCUACGGGAGGCAGCAGUAGGGAAUCUUCCGCAAUGGGCGAAAGCCUGACGGAGCAACGCCGCGUGAGUUAUGAAGGUCUUCCGAUCGUAAAACUCUGUUAUUAGGGAAGAACAUAUGUGUAAUUAACUGUGCACAUCUUGACGGUACCUAAUCAGAAAGCCACGGCUAACUACGUG
Molecule: ribosomal RNA, 497 nt
Filed under: uncultured bacterium
Lineage: Bacteria
Description: partial 16S ribosomal RNA
Rfam family: Bacterial small subunit ribosomal RNA
Source: RNAcentral